Notechis scutatus (mainland tiger snake) is the source of this 199-nucleotide non-coding RNA. Lineage: Eukaryota; Metazoa; Chordata; Lepidosauria; Squamata; Elapidae. The record is from RefSeq and is a predicted model, not a curated record.
CACCUUUUAAAGCAGGCAAAUAUUUUGCAAAAAAGAGAAAUAGAACAAGAGGAAAGAGAACAGGAAGAAGUGGAAAGAGAAGGCGUAAGAACGAGACACCAAACAAGAGCAAACAAGCUUCAACAAGUAACAACUACAGAGUAAGAUGGUGGAAGAAAUCAAAUUGAUUUCAAUUAACAUCAAUGGUUUAAAUUCACAA